Molecule: long non-coding RNA, 328 nt
Organism: Parasteatoda tepidariorum (common house spider)
Lineage: Eukaryota; Metazoa; Arthropoda; Arachnida; Araneae; Theridiidae
Source: RefSeq, a predicted model, not a curated record
UUCGCUUCUUCUGAAGUUCUUGAAGACAUUUGGAUACUUAAAUAGGGAAACGAAAGAUAGUGAUGUCCAGAUUUUUAUCUUCAUUUUGUUGAACAGGAUAUCGCCAAAAGAUUGUUACAAUCGAAUACGAGAUGUCGUGAUUUGUUGCUCGCUUUCAUGGCUCUAAACAUUUACAGAAAGGAAAGUUCGCCAUUUAAAAAUGUUGUCCUCAAAGUAAAGAAGACGUCACAUGUAAGACUUUAAAUCGUCCGUGACAUGCCGGGUCUGCGACAGAAAUGUGAAAUGGCUUAAUGCUGCAAAUGCUGUCAUCUCUAGUUCAACUAAAAAU